AGUAUUAAUCAUUAGCAUUUCUUCACUAUUGAAAGUGCUUUACAACCCUCAGGCCUUCUUCACACACGCGGCAUUGCUGGAUCAGGCUUGCGCCCAUUGUCCAAUGUUCCCC
This 112-nucleotide ribosomal RNA is filed under the name uncultured bacterium. Its description in RNAcentral is "partial 16S ribosomal RNA". The record is from RNAcentral.